RNAcentral lists this long non-coding RNA (3887 nucleotides) under Homo sapiens (human). RNAcentral's name for it is "HSALNT0099315". Lineage: Eukaryota; Metazoa; Chordata; Mammalia; Primates; Hominidae. The record is from RNAcentral.
GUGACCUGCGCGUCAGGAUUUGCCAAGCUUCUCAGCAGUUCUAAUAUCCAGCCAAGGCUGAGAACCGCAGCCUGCUCUCCACCUGCGGCCCUCACUCCUUCCUGCCUUGGGAGGGAGGCUGAAUGGUCAGAUUGGCUCCACUCACUUCACAAAACCUGGAAGGCAGAAUAAGAAGAUGAAAGGAUGCGGCCAGGCACGGUGACUCCUGCCUGUAAUUCCAGCACUUUGGGAGGCCGAGGUGGGCAGAUCACCUGAGCUCAGGAGUUCGAGACCAGCCUGGCCAACAUGGUGAAACCCCAUCUCUACUAAAAAUACAAAAAUUAGCCAGGCUUAGUGGUGAGCUCCUGUAAUCCCAGCUACUCGGGAGGCUGAGGCAGGAGAAUCCCUUGAACCCAGGAGGUGGAGGCUGCGGUAAGCCAAGAUCACACCAUUGCACUCCAGCCUGGACAACAAGAGCGAGACUCCAUCUCAAAAAAAAAAAAAAAAAAAAAAAAAAGACAAAAGGAUGCAACCAGCAAUUGCCACUCAGCCUACUUCAUAUCAAAGAUGAGCUUUAUACAAACACCUAUCCAACGAAUCAGACACAACUUCAAGUUUCUAUUUUGCCACCUCUUCAUCAUGAUGACAGAAUUCCAAGUCUCUUUCCUGUAUGAACGAUUAGGAAUCAGAGGUUAGAACUCAAAUCUAAGCAUAUUCUCAAUUCUUAACCCAUAGAGCAUCAUAAGCUUUUCACUGCUCAAAGAGUGAAUUUUGAUUACUUUUUCCUGACAAAUGUAUCCUGGAAUCCCAGGCAGCAAGUGCCUAACGCAGAUAUGCUUGGAACCCUAAAGUAACAGGAUAUGUUUAACAUGCCAUCCUGCUGGCCUUAUUAUUAAAGGAAGCAGCCUCCUGUGGCCCUGUUCUUUGUACUAAAAUGCCUUCACUGUAUAGCUCUGGAGAUGAUGCCUCCUGAUCUAUGACACCGGACUUCCCGUCUCCAGAGACACUGCUCUCCAUGAGCCCACAAAUGUGGGUGCUUGGUCUCUAGAUGAGACAGAUGAGCAGUUUGUAGCCUGGACAGGGAACGAGUGCUGGGUGGUGACCUUCCCUUCCAGCCUAAGCCAACACACCCUGGCUCUUGAGAUGUGAACCACUUGUUAAGGGAGUUAAAUGGCCUGAGCUCCGGAUGGGUGGCCCUGGACAACUAGAGAGGCAACCCUGUGUUGUAAGAGACAUCAAGCUGUGACAACAUGAAACGAGUUCGCCACUCAAAAGCAGUAUAGCAGCCUUUAGUUCCUGGGAAAAUGAGACCAUGUCCUCCAUGCAGAAUCAGCAUGAUAAAAGCACUUGUCUUAUUAGGUGGGAAGAUGACCAGAUAGCCUCAAAUUACUUCCCCAGUUCCAGGAUUCUACCUACAAAUAGAGGAUGCCCCACACAUUCAAGGAGCUGAAAUGUUUAACAUCAGAGAAAUAAGCCUCAAGAGAGAUGGGCAGACAUGACCGCUGCAGUCAGACUCUAUGAAUUAAAGAAAAGCAAACCAACACACAUGCAAACACGUGAGCAAGGAAGACUGUUUCCCCAAUGCUCUUGCACGUUUUCUACUGUGACACUUUCGGGGGUUUUCAACCCUCUUUUCGCAUUUUUGGAUACCCAUAGUAAGCAAUAAGACAGCGAAAAGAAAAGAUCAAUGCUUCACGGAGCUGAGUUAAAACUAGCAAAGUAAAAAACGUCAAGACAAAUUUCACCUACCAGCAUGCUGUGAGGGCUAGAGAGUAUUGUGGGAUUGUACAAGAUUUGGGAGAACCAGACAGAUGACUUUUUGUUUUGAUGUCUUUAAAGUAUUUAUCUUGAAGAGGAAAAGAAAACAAAUGUCUUAGUAUGUUACAAUUUUUGGCUGUAUUAAAGAUCCAGCGAAAUGAGAGAAUUCAAAUGUGAACCACAAAAAAAUCUUUCUUCAUAAAGGGAGAGGUAAAAGAGUAGAAAGUUAAUCAAUUUGGAAUUUUUCUCUCUCUAAUUCAAAACACGUUUCUCUAAAAAUGUUCCUAUGUCUGAAAAAUACAUAUCACUACUUUUCUAAAUUUAAAAAUGCUGGUUUAAAAAGUAAAGGGGCACAGUUAAGCUAUGUAUUUAUUAAAUAUAUAUGAAUCUGACUGCUUGCUAGAUCAUUUAUUACAUAUAAAGUUCCAAUUUGGGAAAUUCUUAUAAGUUUAAUUAGGUCUUUUUAAUAAAAAACUAAUUUUAUUAAAACCUUAAAAUGUAAGUAAUGUUUUAUUCAGACUUCCAAAUUCAAGUAAUUUAGCAAAAGGUUCAAACAUCUGCUUCCAAAGCAAGCUUAGCAAAAGUUAGACAAGAAAAUUGUUUCUCCAUCCUCACUCAGAUAACAUGUAAAUGUACAGAGCUUGCUGGAAAUGAACUGGAAGGCUCCUAGGUUUCCAGUAAGUCACAAAUAAGCAAACAGCCUGAGAAGAGUCAAUGGAAUUUGUAGAUCUAAAACAGCACCUUAGGGAGAAAGCUCAGCCCCACAUUUUACAAACAGGAAAAAUGAAUGGAGAAAGGUUAAGCACCUGCCCAGCGGCAGCUUGCAGGCCCCUGGCGGAGUCGGGCUCGGAGCCUGGAGCUCCACACCUUCUGAGGGCCGUCCUUUUCCAAGGAUCUUCUCCUGGUUGACUGCUGUCCCUUCCAGAGCUCCCAAUAAACUGUUUGGGGUAAAUUAAUCUAUCUUUAUUUGAAGUGAAGUCAUUGACAAAAACGUAAAUCAUUAAGACAUAUUGUAAUUUAUGAUCCCCAAACCCAUCAACACUCAUAGGCAGAUAAACCUGGAGAUUUCCACAUACAGAUUUCUAAAGUGCCGUAUGUGUGAAGCCAUUGUUGAAACAGUUCUAGUGAGAUGUCGUUUUUAUAAUACGCAAUUCACUUAAAGCGUUCAAUUCAGUGACUUUUAGUAUAUUGACAGAGUCGUGCAUCCAUCACCACAAUCAAUUUCAGAAUAUUUAUUACCCAAAAGAAGCCCUAAGCCCCUCAGCCAUCACCUCCAUUCAAACCUCCUUUCCACCUAGCCCCCAGCCCUGGGCACCCACUACCCCCAUCCCCAUCGACUUGCCUCUUCAGGACAUUUUGUAUAAAUGGGAACAUACAAUAUAUGUGGCCUUUGUAACUGAUCCAAGUCAUUUUUUAAAGACCUAAAACAAGCAUUUAUUCAAAUCUAUAUUCUUUUUUAUUUUUCAGUAAUCUAGCUGACUUUUCAGUGAGUUCAAACUUCAUGUUUCCCAGUUUUGAAGAUGUGGUUGUAAUGUUGUCCUCGGGAGCGGAUAAACGUUUGGCUGUACUGGAAGGUGCUCUCUGAAAAGAAAUGAACUGUUCCACAGCCAUUGUGUAUGCUUUUGUGACCCCUGCUGGCAGGAUGUAAUAGUGUGCUUUCAAAAUCAGUUCCUUGAAAUGCUUUUCCUAUCUUAAAUUUUAAAAUAAUGAAUAGAGCACGUGACUAUUAAUGGGUAUAAAAUGUAAUUAAAGUUGGUUGCUAUGUGUAUGUAUCCUGUUCUUUUCCUAGAAAUUAUAAAGCUGCAGGCUGUUCCUAAAGCUGUUGUUAAAACCCUGUCCAAAGUGCUACUUACUUAACACUUUCCAUUUUUCACAAGGAAAAUGCUUAAUCUGAUAGCAUUUCAUCUCAAUCCUAACAAAACCAUAAAAUCUGAAAGCUGUUUUAUUACUGUUUAGAAGAAUAAAAUGCAUGAGAUGAAGAUUUUAUUAAAACAAUGUGUGAAGGCUACUAAGAGAAAAAAGAAAUAUAAAAAUACAAAACAUGUAUAAAUAACAAUAAAGUCCCUCUGAGGCUUAGAGGCUUGUGAAAAUUAUUUUUAGUACAAUUAUUUAACAUAUCUAUUGCUCUUUGAGUAUUUCUCAAUUUUAAA